This 490-nucleotide ribosomal RNA is filed under the name uncultured bacterium. Its description in RNAcentral is "partial 16S ribosomal RNA". It matches the Rfam family "Bacterial small subunit ribosomal RNA", at positions 28 to 507 of the family's 1533-position model. The record is from RNAcentral.
GAUGAACGCUAGCGAUAGGCUUAACACAUGCAAGUCGAGGGGCAGCAUGGUCUUAGCUUGCUAAGACUGAUGGCGACCGGCGCACGGGUGCGUAACGCGUAUGCAACUUGCCUCACAGAGGGGGAUAACCCGUCGAAAGACGGACUACUACUGCGUACACUCCAUCUUGGGCAUCCAAGGUAGAGGAAAUGAAAUUCGCUGUGAGAUAGGCAUGCGUCCUAUUAGCUAGUUGGUGAGGUAACGACUCACCAAGGCGACGAUGGGUAAGGGAACGGAGAGGUUGACCCCCCACACGGGUACUGAGACCCCGACCAGAGUCCUACGGGAGGCAGAAGUGAGGAAUAUUAGUCAGUGGGCGAGAGCCUGACCCAGCCAAGUCGCGUGAAGGAUGACUGUCUUAUGGAUUGUAAUCUUCUUUUAUACGGGAAUAACAAGAGUCACGUGUGACUCCCUGCAUGUACCGUAUGAAUAAGCAUCGGCUAACUCCGUG